GAGGAGCUGUGUUGGAAUAAAGUCACGAGCGAGCCGGUGGGCCGCUGGCAACGCUAAGAGGGACUAGGCAGGUACCGGCAUCUAGCUAUCGGUCUGUUACUCGAGUGCUGGUAGAUCUCACUGGUAAUGUUGUGUUUCCACUCCAAGCUUUCCAUUUUGAUGGAGUUUGUAAAAAGAAAAGACGAUAAAAUUUUACAAACUUAGGAGUCUGUAAAAAGAAAAGACGAUAAAAUUUUUCAUAUUAAACGUUUCAGGCAUCUUCAGAAAUACCUGAGAACUGUGUUUUAUUGGGCUACAGUAAAACGCUGAUCGCCACAAGAAGUACACUUUGUGCUUACAUAGUGAGAAGCACCUGGGUUUGGUUUCAAGGAUACAUUGCCUCCCUCCCUUGCAAAGUUCUCCGGAGUUAGUCAGAUGGCUGCCGACAACCUGCACCGUGCAAAUGCUCUCAUGGUUCUGCCUGCACAGGAUGGUUGUGAGGUGUUCCUGUCCCAAGGACAUCUGAAAACUGCCACAUGCCAAGUCUGCAGCUAAAAUGUUUCAUCCCCUCUUAUAUCUCAGUCAUGACUGAUGGUAAAAAUUCAACAAACUAGAGCCAUGGAACAGUGUGACUGUUUAAAGAUUUCAAGGUGUGUGAAUUUAAAGGACAACAGCCCAUUUCAAACAACUCCAUGUAUGGACAUUCACAUAUAAAAGUAAGUGAGGGGGUUUAUUCUGGAUUAGAUUGUUUCACUUGCAAAAUGUAUCUUAUUCAUAAGAGUUCC
This 764-nucleotide long non-coding RNA is filed under the name Serinus canaria (Common canary). RNAcentral describes it as "lncRNA (ENSSCAG00000007623.1)". The record is from RNAcentral. Lineage: Eukaryota; Metazoa; Chordata; Aves; Passeriformes; Fringillidae.